This is a long non-coding RNA of Malaclemys terrapin pileata, 738 nucleotides long. RefSeq lists it as uncharacterized. Lineage: Eukaryota; Metazoa; Chordata; Testudines; Emydidae. The transcript is spliced from 2 exons. The record is from RefSeq and is a predicted model, not a curated record.
CCUGCCAGAGACUUGCUGUUACAGAUUAUGGGAGACCAUGUCAGAAAUGCAAAGAAUCCCGCCAAAGCCAUUUCUCUGGGACGGCUCGAGCCCUGGCUCAGGAAAUAAGACAGAACUCUUGCCCAUGAGCUGUCCCAAUUCGGAUUAUUCCAAUGAACUCCAUGGAGCUGUGGUCACUAUUUCUGAUAUUCUUGGCUCCCCCUGCCUCCCAGAGUGUGUUGUGAACAAAUCAAAGCUGAGCCAUUCCAGCACACGAAUAGGCCAAAGCCUCGGAUGACUGCUUUUUAUAAUACUCUUUAUUUGAUUAAAGAAUUUGUAUUCUUUGUGUACACUGGAAUGUGUUCUAUUCCCUAAGUCAUUAUUAUACAGGGUUACAAAAAAAAUUUUUUUUUUUAAAUAUUACCCCCAAAGUAAUUUAAGAAAAAUGCUCCUUUGAUGUUUGAAACUAAACUUGACUCCAUUUUAAAAUCAUACAGACAAGCAACUCUUGAACACAAUUGAAUUAAGAUUCAUAGUCUACUUAACUACAGGACAGGAUUUGCUUCCCCUCCCCCAGAACACAUUACCAUCGCAUGAAAAGAAUUGGAGCUACGUUUCCUCACUGAUGCAUUUAAGGGAACAGGGGAGAGACAGCUAACUUCUUUGGCAGGUGACCCUACAAGCAUUGGUGUGCACUUAGUCUCAAACAGGUGUUCUCCCGCUGGAGCACAGUGCACACAUUUCUAGGACUUCCAUUUG